CCUACGGGGGGCAGCAGUGAGGAAUAUUGGUCAAUGGGCGGGAGCCUGAACCAGCCAAGUCGCGUGAGGGAAGACGGUCCUAUGGAUUGUAAACCUCUUUAGGCGGGGAGCAAUGCCGGGCACGCGUGCCCGGAGGGAGAGUACCCGCAGAAUAAGCAUCGGCUAACUCCGUGCCAGCAGCCGCGGUAAUAUGGAGGAUGCGAGCGUUAUCCGGAUUUAUUGGGUUUAAAGGGUGCGUAGGCGGAUUUUUAAGUCAGCGGUAAAAUGUCCGGGCUCAACCCGGGCCGGCCGUUGAAACUGGGGAGCUUGAGUGGGCGAGAAGUAGGCGGAAUGCGUGGUGUAGCGGUGAAAUGCAUAGAUAUCACGCAGAACUCCGAUUGCGAAGGCAGCAUACCGGCGCCCGACUGACGCUGAGGCACGAAAGCGUGGGGAUCGAACAGGAUUAGAUACCCGGGUAGUC
RNAcentral lists this ribosomal RNA (460 nucleotides) under uncultured bacterium. RNAcentral's name for it is "partial 16S ribosomal RNA". It matches the Rfam family "Bacterial small subunit ribosomal RNA", at positions 338 to 795 of the family's 1533-position model. The record is from RNAcentral.